GACGAACGCUGGCGGCGCGCCUAACACAUGCAAGUCGAACGAGCGAGAGAGAGCUUGCUUUCUCGAGCGAGUGGCGAACGGGUGAGUAACGCGUGAGGAACCUGCCUCAAAGAGGGGGACAACAGUUGGAAACGACUGCUAAUACCGCAUAAGCCCACGGUGCCGCAUGGCACAGAGGGAAAAGGAGCAAUCCGCUUUGAGAUGGCCUCACGUCUGAUUAGCUAGUUGGUGAGGUAAUGGCCCACCAAGGCGACGAUCGGUAGCCGGACUGAGAGGUUGAACGGCCACAUUGGGACUGAGACACGGCCCAGACUCCUACGGGAGGCAGCAGUGGGGAAUAUUGCACAAUGGGGGAAACCCUGAUGCAGCGACGCCGCGUGGAGGAAGAAGGUCUUCGGAUUGUAAACUCCUGUUGUUGGGGAAGAUAAUGACGGUACCCAACAAGGAAGUGACGGCUAACUACGUG
RNAcentral lists this ribosomal RNA (466 nucleotides) under uncultured bacterium. RNAcentral describes it as "partial 16S ribosomal RNA". It matches the Rfam family "Bacterial small subunit ribosomal RNA", at positions 28 to 507 of the family's 1533-position model. The record is from RNAcentral.